Molecule: ribosomal RNA, 253 nt
Filed under: uncultured bacterium
Lineage: Bacteria
Description: partial 16S ribosomal RNA
Rfam family: Bacterial small subunit ribosomal RNA
Source: RNAcentral
UACAGAGGGGGCAAGCGUUGUUCGGAAUUACUGGGCGUAAAGCGCGCGUAGGCGGAUCACUAAGUCAGGGGUGAAAUCCCGAGGCUUAACCUCGGAACUGCCUUUGAUACUGGUGAUCUGGAGAUCGGGAGAGGUUGGUGGAAUUCCGAGUGUAGAGGUGAAAUUCGUAGAUAUUCGGAGGAACACCAGAAGCGAAGGCGGCCAACUGGCCCGAUACUGACGCUGAGGCGCGAAAGCGUGGGGAGCAAACAGG